This 525-nucleotide ribosomal RNA is filed under the name uncultured eukaryote. RNAcentral describes it as "bacterial SSU rRNA". It matches the Rfam family "Eukaryotic small subunit ribosomal RNA", at positions 15 to 551 of the family's 1831-position model. The record is from RNAcentral.
UGCCAGUGAUAUAUUCUUGAUUUGAAGAUUAAGCCAUGCAAAUGAAGGAUGAGAUGAACGGAGAAAUUCGUUUACAUCGAACCAGUAUAAGGCUCAUUAAAAGGAUUAAAAUGUGAGGGAAAAUAAAAGAAAACAUAAAAGGAUAACUUUUCUAAAGAAAAGCUAAUACUUGAAUCUCAUGCAGGCAAUUAUUAGUUUUACGAAAAAAAGAUUUUCCAUUUUAAAGGAAUUAUAAUAAUUUGUUAAGAACGACGCAAUGUUGUUCAAUUUCCCAUCAUUUUUUCAGCUAUUAUUUAAAGUUGGUAAAGUAGAGGUUUACCAAGAAAGUAAUGGCAACGGAGAGUUAGGGCUUGACUCCGGAGAAAGAGCCUUAAAAACGGCUGUUAGGUCUAAGGAUUGCAGCAGGCGCGUAAAUUAUCCAAUGCUCUUAUGAGUGAGAUAGUGAAGAAAAAUAGAAGACUAAAGAUUAUCUUUUGGUAAUUCGAAUGAUAGAAAUGUAAAUACUAAUUAAAGAGUAACAAAUAG